UAGUGCUGCAGCUAACGCAUUAAGCACUCCGCCUGGGGAGUACGGUCGCAAGACUGAAACUCAAAGGAAUUGACGGGGGCCCGCACAAGCGGUGGAGCAUGUGGUUUAAUUCGAAGCAACGCGAAGAACCUUACCAGGUCUUGACAUCCCGUUGACCACUGUAGAGAUAUAGUUUCCCCUUCGGGGGCAACGGUGACAGGUGGUGCAUGGUUGUCGUCAGCUCGUGUCGUGAGAUGUUGGGUUAAGUCCCGCAACGAGCGCAACCCUUGAUCUUAGUUGCCAUCAUUUAGUUGGGCACUCUAAGGUGACUGCCGGUGACAAACCGGAGGAAGGUGGGGAUGACGUCAAAUCAUCAUGCCCCUUAUGACCUGGGCUACACACGUGCUACAAUGGACGAUACAAACGGUUGCCAACUCGCGAGAGGGAGCUAAUCCGAUAAAGUCGUUCUCAGUUCGGAUUGUAGGCUGCAACUCGCCUACAUGAAGCCGGAAUCGCUAGUAAUC
Molecule: ribosomal RNA, 503 nt
Filed under: Lysinibacillus macroides
Lineage: Bacteria; Bacillati; Bacillota; Bacilli; Caryophanales; Bacillaceae
Description: bacterial SSU rRNA
Rfam family: Bacterial small subunit ribosomal RNA
Source: RNAcentral